UGGGGAAUUUUGGACAAUGGGCGAAAGCCUGAUCCAGCAAUGCCGCGUGUGUGAAGAAGGCCUUCGGGUUGUAAAGCACUUUUGUCCGGAAAGAAAUCCUUGGCUCUAAUACAGUCGGGGGAUGACGGUACCGGAAGAAUAAGCACCGGCUAACUACGUGCCAGCAGCCGCGGUAAUACGUAGGGUGCAAGCGUUAAUCGGAAUUACUGGGCGUAAAGCGUGCGCAGGCGGUUUGCUAAGACCGAUGUGAAAUCCCCGGGCUCAACCUGGGAACUGCAUUGGUGACUGGCAGGCUAGAGUAUGGCAGAGGGGGGUAGAAUUCCACGUGUAGCAGUGAAAUGCGUAGAGAUGUGGAGGAAUACCGAUGGCGAAGGCAGCCCCCUGGGCCAAAUACUGACGCUCAUGCACGAAAGCGUGGGGAGCAAACAGGAUUAGAUACCCUGGUAGUCCACGCCCUAAAACGAUGUCAACUAGUUGUUGGGGGUUCAUUUCCUUAGUAACGUAGCUAACGCGUGAAGUUGACCGCCUGGGGAGUACGGUCGCAAGAUUAAAACUUAAAUGAAUUGACGGGGUCAUAGCUGUUUCCU
RNAcentral lists this ribosomal RNA (587 nucleotides) under uncultured bacterium. Its description in RNAcentral is "partial 16S ribosomal RNA". It matches the Rfam family "Bacterial small subunit ribosomal RNA", at positions 355 to 1375 of the family's 1533-position model. The record is from RNAcentral.